RNAcentral lists this ribosomal RNA (506 nucleotides) under uncultured bacterium. RNAcentral's name for it is "partial 16S ribosomal RNA". It matches the Rfam family "Bacterial small subunit ribosomal RNA", at positions 29 to 523 of the family's 1533-position model. The record is from RNAcentral.
AGUGAACGCUGGCGGUAGGCCUAACACAUGCAAGUCGAACGGCAGCACAGGAGAGCUUGCUCUCUGGGUGGCGAGUGGCGGACGGGUGAGGAAUACAUCGGAAUCUACUUUUUCGUGGGGGAUAACGUAGGGAAACUUACGCUAAUACCGCAUACGACCUACGGGUGAAAGCAGGGGAUCUUCGGACCUUGCGCGAUUGAAUGAGCCGAUGUCGGAUUAGCUAGUUGGCGGGGUAAAGGCCCACCAAGGCGACGAUCCGUAGCUGGUCUGAGAAGAUGAUCAGCCACACUGGAACUGAGACACGGUCCAGACUCCUACGGGAGGCAGCAGUGGGGAAUAUUGGACAAUGGGCGCAAGCCUGAUCCAGCCAUACCGUGUGGGUGAAGAAGGCCUUCGGGUUGUAAAGCCCUUUUGUUGGGAAAGAAAUCCAGCUGGUUAAUACCCGGUUGGGAUGACGGUACCCAAAGAAUAAGCACCGGCUAACUUCGUGCCAGCCGCCGCAGUAA